GAAUUUUUCUCAUCAAGCAAACUGAUACCAAAUCAAGCUUGAAAGAGAUAUAAUGAUUGGGUACCAAAUCAAGCUUUAUGAUGAGGGGGUUAUGAUAAAGUUAGGUUACCCCACUAUCAUGAGACCUAUUAUGUAAAAAACCUUUUGUUUUCAUGUUGCCUUAAAGAAAUAUUUAAUGACAAGGCACCUAAUCAAAAUUCCC
RNAcentral lists this long non-coding RNA (202 nucleotides) under Vitis vinifera (wine grape). Its description in RNAcentral is "long non-coding RNA (VVIN_LNC000516)". The record is from RNAcentral. Lineage: Eukaryota; Viridiplantae; Streptophyta; Magnoliopsida; Vitales; Vitaceae.